This 115-nucleotide ribosomal RNA is filed under the name uncultured bacterium. Its description in RNAcentral is "partial 16S ribosomal RNA". It matches the Rfam family "Bacterial small subunit ribosomal RNA", at positions 1373 to 1482 of the family's 1533-position model. The record is from RNAcentral.
CCCGGGCCUUGUACACACCGCCCGUCACGCCAUGGGAGUUGGUUUUACCCGAAGGCGGUUUUGCUGACCCAGCAAUGGGGGGCGGCCGACCACGGUAAGGUCAGCGACUGGGGCG